GACGAACGCUGGCGGCGUGCUUAACACAUGCAAGUCGAACGGAAAGGCCCUGCUUUUGUUGGGUGCUCGAGUGGCGAACGGGUGAGUAACACGUGAGUAUCCUGCCCUUGACUUUGGGAUAUCUUCAGGAAACUGGGGCUAAUACCGGAUAGGAGCUCCUGCUGCAUGGUGGUGGUUGGAAAGUUUCGGCGGUAGGGGCUGGAAUGGCAGCUUAUGCGCUUCAUUGUGUGGUAGGGGCUUACCAAGGCUUUGAAGGGUAGCCGGCCUGGGAGGUGUACCGGCCACAUGGGUACUGAGAUACGGACCAGACUCGUACGGGAGGCAGUAGUGGGGAAUAUUGCACAGCGGCGGGAAGCCUGAGACAGAAACGCUGCGUGCGGGAUGACGGCUUUCGGGGUGUAAACAGCUUUCGCCGGUGCCGAAGCGUGAGUGACGGUAAUGGGUAAAGAAGCACCGGCUAACUACGUG
RNAcentral lists this ribosomal RNA (468 nucleotides) under uncultured bacterium. RNAcentral describes it as "partial 16S ribosomal RNA". It matches the Rfam family "Bacterial small subunit ribosomal RNA", at positions 28 to 507 of the family's 1533-position model. The record is from RNAcentral.